UAUUAGGUUAUUGAAUCUCCAUACCCUUAGGAAGAUGGAGCCCUGAAAUCUCACCUGGAUCCUCUGCUCAUAGGUUGCACUCAUCCUGUGUGGAGGUUGAGCUCUGGCACUGUGCAAGCAGGGAGCAUCCCAGACCUGUGGAGGAGCUCAGCAGGAGAAGAAUCAGUGGGGGAAAAUAGUCCUAAUGCUGUGUUGCUGGUGGUGGGUCAGGCAGUUUGAACAGAGGUCUGUGGUGCUCCAGCUCGUUGGGAACUUUUGUGCUCAGGCCAGGAGGAUGCUGCAGAUGGAGCUGAUCUGUGAAUUUCAAAUCUGUGCCUCCACCAGUGUUGACACGGUGCAAUGAUGCAGCCGAGCUCUCAGAUGUCUGGCUCGAAGAGUUGUGAAAUGAUCAAGCAGACAAACCCAACCAUUUCAGCCUUGUCA
Molecule: long non-coding RNA, 423 nt
Filed under: Lepidothrix coronata (blue-crowned manakin)
Lineage: Eukaryota; Metazoa; Chordata; Aves; Passeriformes; Pipridae
Description: lncRNA (ENSLCOG00000002714.1)
Source: RNAcentral